RNAcentral lists this transfer RNA (65 nucleotides) under Dipodomys ordii (Ord's kangaroo rat). It matches the Rfam family "tRNA". From Rfam's summary of the family: Transfer RNA (tRNA) molecules are approximately 80 nucleotides in length. Their secondary structure includes four short double-helical elements and three loops (D, anti-codon, and T loops). Lineage: Eukaryota; Metazoa; Chordata; Mammalia; Rodentia; Heteromyidae. The record is from Rfam by way of RNAcentral.
GGUGGCUCAGUGGUAGAGUGCUUGCCUUGCAUGCAUGAGGCCCUGGGUUUGAAUCUUCAGCACCA